AGUAGAUGACUUGCCAGAAAGCUAUGAUGAUGUCGUCAUCAUACGACAGUUCUCCAGUGAUAAAGCAGCCACAUUUAUAUCAGAGGGUGUUCAGGAGGAGUAUGAUGAUGUGAAGAAUGUCAGAGAAUAUAUGAGUGACAUGUUUGACUAUGAUGAUGUGGAGGAGGAUCCAGGAAAACAAGCAGGAGCUGUUUAAC
Molecule: long non-coding RNA, 197 nt
Organism: Carassius gibelio (silver crucian carp)
Lineage: Eukaryota; Metazoa; Chordata; Actinopteri; Cypriniformes; Cyprinidae
Exons: 3
Source: RefSeq, a predicted model, not a curated record